RNAcentral lists this ribosomal RNA (252 nucleotides) under uncultured bacterium. RNAcentral's name for it is "partial 16S ribosomal RNA". It matches the Rfam family "Bacterial small subunit ribosomal RNA", at positions 524 to 776 of the family's 1533-position model. The record is from RNAcentral.
UACAGAGGUCCCGAGCGUUGUUCGGAUUCACUGGGCGUAAAGGGUGCGUAGGUGGUUGGGUAAGUCUGAUGUGAAAUCUCCGGGCUCAACCCGGAAAUGGCAUUGGAUACUAUUCGGCUAGAGGUUUUGGAGGGGACUGGAAUUCUCGGUGUAGCAGUGAAAUGCGUAGAUAUCGAGAGGAACACCAGUGGCGAAGGCGAGUCCCUGGACAACACCUGACACUGAGGCACGAAAGCUAGGGGAGCAAACAGG